This 426-nucleotide ribosomal RNA is filed under the name uncultured Burkholderiales bacterium. RNAcentral's name for it is "bacterial SSU rRNA". It matches the Rfam family "Bacterial small subunit ribosomal RNA", at positions 356 to 774 of the family's 1533-position model. The record is from RNAcentral. Lineage: Bacteria; Pseudomonadati; Pseudomonadota; Betaproteobacteria; Burkholderiales.
GGGGAAUUUUGCACAAUGGGCGAAAGCCUGAUGCAGCGACGCCGCGUGAGGGAUGAAGGCCUUCGGGUUGUAAACCGCUUUUGUCAGAGACGAAAAGGGACGUACGAAUAAUACGUUCCGCUGACGGUAUCUGAAGAAUAAGCACCGGCUAACUACGUGCCAGCAGCCGCGGUAAUACGUAGGGUGCAAGCGUUAAUCGGAAUUACUGGGCGUAAAGGGUGCGCAGGCGGCUGUGCAAGACAGAUGUGAAAUCCCCGGGCUUAACCUGGGAACUGCAUUUGUGACUGCAUGGCUAGAGUUUGUCAGAGGAGGGUGGAAUUCCGCGUGUAGCAGUGAAAUGCGUAGAUAUGCGGAAGAACACCAAUGGCGAAGGCAGCCCUCUGGGACAUGACUGACGCUCAUGCACGAAAGCGUGGGGAGCAAACA